Long non-coding RNA from Gasterosteus aculeatus aculeatus (three-spined stickleback), 940 nucleotides. Lineage: Eukaryota; Metazoa; Chordata; Actinopteri; Perciformes; Gasterosteidae. The record is from Ensembl.
CCUUUCUUCGUGCUUUCAUUGUCUGUUUGCGAAAAUUCCGUGCGAUACUUUUCAAUUUGAUGUACAACAAACAUUUGUAGGAUAUUCCUUGUGCCGCAAGCGUUUAACCGUAGCAGGCCGAAUUAGGAGAACACGGCCGGAGCGUCGGCGGAUGGUUUGUCUGGUUGCCUCUCUGUUUUUGAUUUCUGUCUAUUACAUCGUAACAUGCAUUCCUACAAGGGUUCCAUUGGACUGGAGUCUCAUUACUCUGUGGUGAUUGUUCUGCCAAGACACUCACGGCCUAAGCUCCUGUGCAAGAGUCCGCCUGCAAUAUGGGCCAAAGAUAACGCGACGUUUUCCUCUCCCACUUCAGCAGAAGCACUGUGCAGCCGUGGGCUUCUGGGCUCGACGGUAGCAAACUUAAGAAGCGACUGCAGAGGAUUCACAGCAUUCAGCAGCGCUACCAGACCAAGAAGAGGACAGGACUGUGUCUCCAUCACAGUCAAAGGGACAUUCGGUCUGCACUGAUUGUAGCAGUAGAGUCCACAACAACACACACAUUGAACUUGAAGCUUUACUUUUCCUUCCCUUCCAGCGCUUCUUUGGGAUAUAGUCUGUCACACAUUACCAGCUUUGACAGAAGUGUGAAGGAAAUACGUGAAAUGGCCUGAGGCGUAGCCACGGCCGGCUUAACCACAAACAGGCCGUGCCAGUCUUCUCACAACAGGUAUUUCUGUAGCACGACUGAGAGGUGAAAGUGUAGCUUAAGUUACUCCAAAUGAGAAAAUGCUGUCGCAGGGCUUUCAUGUCCUCGACCCAACAGCUAUGUGUCGCGGUGAUACCCAUGAAAAGCAGUUUUGAUGAUGAUGUCACUAUGCACUAAUCUGAUUGCUCUCAUUUUCUCCGUCUCGCUUAAGGUCACUUCUCCUACAUCCUGUCAGUAACGCAAUUCAACAUGCAG